Molecule: long non-coding RNA, 589 nt
Organism: Oncorhynchus tshawytscha (Chinook salmon)
Lineage: Eukaryota; Metazoa; Chordata; Actinopteri; Salmoniformes; Salmonidae
Source: Ensembl
GUAAUGACUACUGUACUGGUCAGUGUACUGUAGUCUCUAAGACUCACCACAGAGUGAGACUGGUACCUGCCGACAGGGACUGAGAGAUAUCGGUCUCCCUGUGCGAUGGUUCUAUACAAAACACUAACGUUCAGAAGAGACUUUGUGUGUGUGUGAGAGAGAGAGAGGUCAGUGUGUGAGAGAGAGGGUGAGGUCAGUGUGUGAGAGAGAGAGUGAGGUCAGUGUGUGUGUGUGAGAGAGAGAGGUCAGUGUGUGUGAGAGAGAGAGAGUGAGGUCAGUGUGUGUGUGUGAGAGAGAGAGAGAGAGGUCAGUGUGUGUGUGUGAGAGAGAGAGGUCAGUGAGAGAGUGAGGUCAGUGUGUGUGGGUGAGAGAGAGAGGUCUGUGUGAGAGCGAGAGAGAGAGGUCCUUGAAUUGAAUUGAGAGUUCAGUGUGAGAGAGAGAGAGAGAGUCAGUGUGUGUGAGAGAGAGAGAGAGAGGUCAGUGUGUGUGUGAGAGAGAGAGAGAGGUCAGUGUGUGUGUGAGAGAGAGAGAGAGGUCAGUGUGUGUGGGAGAGAGAGAGAGGUCAGUGUGUGUGUGAGAGAGAGAGAGG